RNAcentral lists this ribosomal RNA (497 nucleotides) under uncultured bacterium. RNAcentral's name for it is "partial 16S ribosomal RNA". It matches the Rfam family "Bacterial small subunit ribosomal RNA", at positions 28 to 507 of the family's 1533-position model. The record is from RNAcentral.
GAUGAACGCUGGCGGCGUGCCUAAUACAUGCAAGUCGAGCGAACAGACGAGGAGCUUGCUCCUCUGACGUUAGCGGCAGACGGGUGAGUAACACGUGGAUAACCUACCUAUAAGACUGGGAUAACUUCGGGAAACCGGAGCUAAUACCGGAUAAUAUAUUGAACCGCAUGGUUCAAUAGUGAAAGACGGUUUUGCUGUCACUUAUAGAUGGAUCCGCGCCGCAUUAGCUAGUUGGUAAGGUAACGGCUUACCAAGGCAACGAUGCGUAGCCGACCUGAGAGGGUGAUCGGCCACACUGGAACUGAGACACGGUCCAGACUCCUACGGGAGGCAGCAGUAGGGAAUCUUCCGCAAUGGGCGAAAGCUUGACGGAGCAACGCCGCGUGAGUGAUGAAGGUCUUCGGAUCGUAAAACUCUGUUAUUAGGGAAGAACAAAUGUGUAAGUAACUAUGCACGUCUUGACGGUACCCAAUCAGAAAGCCACGGCUAACUACGUG